UACGUAGGUGGCGAGCGUUGUCCGGAUUUACUGGGCGUAAAGAGCGCGCAGGCGGUCGUGUAAGUCGAAUGUGAAAGCCCCCGGCUCAACUGGGGAGGGUCAUUCGAUACUGCUCGACUCGAAGGCAGGAGAGGGAAGCGGAAUUCCCGGUGUAGUGGUGAAAUGCGUAGAUAUCGGGAGGAACACCAGUGGCGAAGGCGGCUUCCUGGCCUGUUCUUGACGCUGAGGCGCGAAAGCUAGGGGAGCGAACAGG
Molecule: ribosomal RNA, 253 nt
Filed under: uncultured bacterium
Lineage: Bacteria
Description: partial 16S ribosomal RNA
Rfam family: Bacterial small subunit ribosomal RNA
Source: RNAcentral